CUACUUGUGACGAUUAUGUUUACCAUUUGAUUUAUUACUCGCAAUUUAUUCAUGAUUUGUGGAAAUAAUUUGAGACGACUGAAUGCCUUAAAACAUGUCCAUAUUUGUUUCGAAUAUUUGACGAGGCAGUGGUGAGUAAAUUAGAUUGUUUGCAUGGUAAUCUGAAUCUGUCCAUUCGCAUGCGUUAUACUUGUUUUGUUAUGCUUAUGAUUGGACUACAAGCUUGUUUGCGUUGCUAUUUACUAUCUCAUGGCUAUUCUUUUUAGUGGACUCAAUUGCC
Molecule: long non-coding RNA, 280 nt
Filed under: Gossypium raimondii (Peruvian cotton)
Lineage: Eukaryota; Viridiplantae; Streptophyta; Magnoliopsida; Malvales; Malvaceae
Description: long non-coding RNA (GRAI_LNC002836)
Source: RNAcentral